This 495-nucleotide ribosomal RNA is filed under the name uncultured bacterium. RNAcentral describes it as "partial 16S ribosomal RNA". It matches the Rfam family "Bacterial small subunit ribosomal RNA", at positions 28 to 507 of the family's 1533-position model. The record is from RNAcentral.
GACGAACGCUGGCGGCGUGCCUAAUACAUGCAAGUAGAACGCUGAAGGAGGAGCUUGCUUCUCUGGAUGAGUUGCGAACGGGUGAGUAACGCGUAGGUAACCUGCCUGGUAGCGGGGGAUAACUAUUGGAAACGAUAGCUAAUACCGCAUAAGAGUAGAUGUUGCAUGACAUUUGCUUAAAAGGUGCAAUUGCCUCACUACCAGAUGGCCCUGCGUUGUAUUAGCUAGUUGGUGAGGUAACGGCUCACCAAGGCAACGAUACAUAGCCGACCUGAGAGGGUGAUCGGCCACACUGGGACUGAGAAACGGCCCAGACUCCUACGGGAGGCAGCAGUAGGGGAUCUUCGGCAAUGGACGGAAGUCUGACCGAGCAACGCCGCGUGAGUGAAGAAGGUUUUCGGAUCGGAAAGCUCUGUUGUAAGAGAAGAACGAGUGUGAGAGUGGAAAGUUCACACUGUGACGGUAUCUUACCAGAAAGGGACGGCUAACUACGUG